AUGAAUUUCCCAUGCGCCACCACGGAAUUCCUGAUCAAAUGCCUGGGCCUACCUCUAUCUCCUAAGAAACUUCUCAAGGCCGACCUCACGCCCCUUGUGGACUCUCUGGCAAACCAGCUCCCGGUGUGGAAAACCAACCUCAUCCCAACCUACGGUCGGCUCGCGCUACUCAACUCUGUGCUCACAACCCUGAAAAUCUACCAUAUGCUAGCACUCGAUCUACCGCCAUGGCUAUUAAAAGUGGCAGACAAGAUACAUCGUGGAUUCCUCUGGGCGGGCUAUGAUUGUGCGCGCAAUGGGAAAUGCCAUGUGGCGUGGGCCAAUGUUUGCACUCCAAAGGAGCUAGGCGGCCUUGGAAUCCAUAUCCUCAAAGCACUGAACGACGCUCUAUGA
RNAcentral lists this ribosomal RNA (393 nucleotides) under Triticum aestivum (bread wheat). RNAcentral's name for it is "partial small subunit ribosomal RNA". The record is from RNAcentral. Lineage: Eukaryota; Viridiplantae; Streptophyta; Magnoliopsida; Poales; Poaceae.